Molecule: long non-coding RNA, 1215 nt
Filed under: Gallus gallus (chicken)
Lineage: Eukaryota; Metazoa; Chordata; Aves; Galliformes; Phasianidae
Description: long non-coding RNA NONGGAT003979
Source: RNAcentral
GGAGUUGUUGUGUUGGUUGUGGUUGGAGUAGUUGUGUUGCUUUGCGGUUGGUGCUGUUGCCUUGCUUUGCGGUUGGAGCUGCUGGUUAGACUUUGUGCCAGUUCUGGGCCUCGAUCAGCAGUAUUUGUGGCUGUAAAUGGGCUAGCAACUGGGCUGCUGCCUGCCACCUGGCUCUUCUGGAAAUCUAAGCCCCCUACCGCUUCUUGGAACCUGCUACACUGCCUUCCUCUUCUUGUCAUCUACUACUCUGCCUGCCUCUUCCUGGAAACUGCUACACUGCCUGGCUCUUGCAAUCUACUACUCUCUCUGCCUCUUUUUCGGAAUCUACUGCACUGCCUGCUUCCUUUUCGGACUAUACUGUGCUGUCUGCCUCUUUCUUGGACUAUUCUAUGCUGCCUGCCUCUCUUUCGGCAUCUACUACUCCACCUGCCUCUUCCUGCAAUCUACUACACUGCCUGCCUCCCUUUGGAAACUCCUCCUCAGCCUGCUUCUUCUUUGGAACACGCUAUGCCACCUGCGUCUGCUCUGCAAUAUCCUACGCCGUCUGUGUCUGCUUUUCAAUAUGCUAUACCGGCUGCGGCUGCUUUUCAAUAUCCUAUGCCACCUUUCUCUUCUUUGAAAUAUUCUACGUCACCUACCUCUGCUUUGUAAAAUACUACACCACCUCUCCCUUAUAUGGAAUAUGCUGUGCCACCUGCCAUUUGUAUGGAAAAUACUACGCUGCCUGCCACUUCUGUGGUAUAUCCUAUGCUGCCUGCACCUGCUUCGGAUCAUCCUGCGUCACCUGCCACUUCUACGGAAGAUCCUACAGCACCUGCCACUGCUAUGGACUGUACUAAACCGCCUGCCUCUUGUAUGGACCAUACUACGCCACCUGGGUCUUCUGUGGAAUAUACCAUGCCGCCUGCCUCCUGUGGCAAUAUACCAUGGCACCUGGAUCUUUUUAGAAUAUACAAAGCAGCCUGGCUCUCUUUGGGCCAUACCGCUCUGCCUGGCUCACUUUGGAACCUACCACGCCACCUGGCUCAUGUUGGCAUAUGCCACGCCGGCUGGCACUCCUUGGAAUGUACCACGGCACCUGGCUGUCUCUGGCAUAUACCUUGCUACCUGCCUCUCUUCGGAAUACACCACGCUGCCUGGCUUUCUCUGGAUGAGAGUGUACCGCCUGGCUCUCUUUGGACUAGAGUAUGCUGCCUGGCUCUCACUGAAACCUGA